Molecule: unclassified non-coding RNA, 168 nt
Filed under: soil metagenome
Description: partial internal transcribed spacer 1
Source: RNAcentral
ACACAAAAACAAUCCCAUAUCCACCCCUUUUUAUAACGAACUCUGGUUUUACCAAAAUACCAUUGUCUCUUCUUUAUCCAACUUUAUUUUUACCCCAUCUUCUUAUAACCAAAAUGCAAUAGACUGAUAUUUAUUUAUCUUUAUAAUCUUUAUAAAUGAUAUUUAAAA